UUAUGCGCGGUGAAUAUCCUUUUCCGCAGGUGAAUAUGCUUAUUUAUUCAAAAUCCCAUUCAUAUAGAAAAACCUACUAAAGUUUUAUCAAUAUGGAAUAAUUUAAAUUAUUGCCUCUUAGAUUUAAUUUUAUGUCAGUGAAUUAUUUUAAUUUCAGACUAAACUCAAUUUCAGCUAUGUAAUAUUAAUAUUUGGUAACAAUUUGUUAUGUAGAUAUUUUACAAUUACUGUCUUUUGAUGAGGUAAAUGUGUGGUUUUAUUCACUUGGGAAAAACUGAUAUUCAUUGAGGCGAUCGGCCGAAGUGAAUAUCGGUUUUUCAAAAGUCAAUAAAACCACAUAUUUACCGUAACAAAAGACAGUAAUUGUUUUAUUCUAUGUUGGGAGAGAAAUGUAUGCAAAGGAAAAUAUAUACCAAAAUCAAUUUUACAUCAAACGUUUUUUUUACCUAAGUUAUACACGUAAAAGCAUGCAACGUUUUGCGCGGUGAAUAUACUUUUCUGCAGGUGAAUAUGAUUAUUUAUUCAAAACCCUAUUCGUAUAGAAAAACCUACUUAAGUUUUAGCAAUAUGGAAUAAUAGUAGUUUCCUAUCAAGAUUAAUUAUUGAAUACUUUCAGAUGAAAAUUAUUUUGUGAAACUUCAUUCAAAAGAAUUGUUGAUUUGCUCUAUAACGAUCAGAUAUGGUUUAAUGGGGUGGUUUACUUUGUAAGUCAUUGCAUUUAGCAAACAGCCAAAGAAAGGCAUAGACAUAAAAGUUGGACAUGAUCAAACGAUAUUGUUUUAAUUAAAUAUUGAGAUUUGUGGUCUAUUUAUUUAUAUUUAUUAUAAUGUCCAUGAUGGACGCUUUAAAUUUCAUCGUAUUAUAUAUAUACCGGAAUCUCCACGCUCAUUAGUUGAUCUGAAAAUCAUUCCAUGAUAAUCAUAUUUAUACUACAAGCUGGUCUUGUAGCUCGUUGUAUUUUUAGUUUGAUCUCUUUAAUGGCCCUGAUGAAGUCAUAUCUCAGUUAUUAUAUAAUUUUUGCUGCUUUAACCAUAUCAAUAACCGAUUCAAGAUCAGGAAACCCCAAAAAAAUAUUUGAAUUGAUUUUGGACAUACAAAAUUGUAAAACAGUUUUUUUCCCACAUAUAACCUAAAUUCAUAAAAAAAAAAUCAAGGAAACAAAAAACUGCAUCUUUCUCCCUUAAAAUAUGUGAUGUAUAUAAAAACACUAUUUCAAACAAAUUGAAUUAGAAUGUGCUAUUAGGACAACAAUAAAAAGAACCUUCAAACAAGUUAAAUUUUUAGAUUUCAAUAUUAAGAUGAGAUAUUAAUUAUAAGGAUGAAGAUUUCAAAGGCCAGAACUUUAACUUGUAUCAGGGAUUUACAUCAUUAUCUAGUCUAAACUAUUAUUUUUCAUUCUAUAAUUUCAUCUGUAGAAUAGCUCAUUUGACCAUUGAAUGUUUAUUUAGAUAUGAUGCCAUACACAGAUGAGAGUUAUUGUUAAAUGUAGAGUAUCACUAGUAUUGAAAUUCAUAUGUCCUGAAUUUAUACACAAUAAUCUCGUAAAAUGUUUCUACUUUCAUUUUGAAAGUUUGACUUCCUUUACAUUUCAAACAUUGAUUUUGUAUUUACUGUUUGAAAAUUAUUGGCUAUUUUCUGGAAGCUUUUGUAAAACAAUUUGCAUAUUUUAAUGUAACAGUUCAUCUUCUGUCUUGUUAAAUCUUAGUAUAAAACUUAUACCCUACACAAAGUAAUGUCAUUGUUUUUUUCCUGUAUCUGUAAGAAAGAGUAAUGUAUGUGCAUUCCAAAUUUGCUUUCAGACCAAUAUUUUCUUUCUAGUAUUUCUUGUUCGAUUUUCCCUUAAUGGUUUUGCAUUUUAUUUCAAAUGCUUAAUGCACUAAUUGAAAUUUAAAGAUAUUAUAUUCCUUUUGAAAUUAUUGUAAUUCUCAUCCUGUUUUUUUAUAGCUGAUAAGGACAGAUAUUCCUGUCUUGCCCAAUCGCCUGGGUAAAAACACAUAUCUGCAUUUUUCUAUCAACAUUUGAAGGGUUUUGAAUUCAACUUGUUCAUUACAAUAUUAAUGCAAAUUAAAAAUAAAUGAACUGCUAGACAUCCUUUAGUCUACCUUAACAAUUGUUAUCUUCUGAUCUGUAAGGUUAUAUUUUACCAAAUCUUGAAAACUGUUACAGUUGAUAUGUCAGCUAUACUUCUUUUCUAAGUCGAUAUAUUACUGAAUCAAAGUUUAGCUACAUUUUGAUAUAAUUUAAUGCCUUUAUGUUUGUAAGCUUUAAAUAUGUAUAAUAAAUCAUCAAAGGAAUAAUACAGUGAAGUGAACGCAAAAUAUUUAAUAUUAGAUACCUGUCUUAAUUUUUUUAUGGCACUUAUUUUUCUGAUAUUUAAACUUUAACUAUAGAAAAGUGAUUGUCAAGGCUGACUGAUCAUAAAAUUGAUUUUGACAAUCAUGUGAUAUUGAAAAGUGGGUAAAAGUUCAAUUUACAUUUAUUUUUAAAAAGUUUGAGUUGUCAGUGUUUUUUUCCCCUUGAUUAAUCUUUAUAAGAUUUGCUUAUAGAAGACAAAAACAAUCAAUUAUAUUUAAAUUCCUCUUAUAUAUAUGAUUUAUUCAAAUAAUUUACAAAAAGUAACUUUAUGGUAAGUAUAUAGCAGCUGACAGUAUUAAAACUAAAUGUAUUGAUGUAGUUUACUUAAAACUAGACCUUCCAUCAUAAAAGAAUCUUUGAGAAAUCGAUCACUGUAUCAUUCCUUUGUGCAUCCCUGUGAUACCGGAGUUGGUACUACAUCAUUUACACCUUACUGUUGUAUUGUAUUGUUGUUAUUUUGUGCAAUAAAAUAACCUCUCAUUUAAUAGUGUUUUGUUUUAUUAUAAUUGAAA
Molecule: long non-coding RNA, 2867 nt
Filed under: Mytilus galloprovincialis (Mediterranean mussel)
Lineage: Eukaryota; Metazoa; Mollusca; Bivalvia; Mytilida; Mytilidae
Source: RNAcentral